RNAcentral lists this ribosomal RNA (478 nucleotides) under uncultured bacterium. Its description in RNAcentral is "bacterial SSU rRNA". It matches the Rfam family "Bacterial small subunit ribosomal RNA", at positions 9 to 477 of the family's 1533-position model. The record is from RNAcentral.
GAGUUUGAUCCUGGCUCAGGAUGAACGCUAGCUACAGGCUUAACACAUGCAAGUCGAGGGGCAGCAUGAACUUAGCUUGCUAAGUUUGAUGGCGACCGGCGCACGGGUGAGUAACACGUAUCCAACCUGCCGAUGACUCGGGGAUAGCCUUUCGAAAGAAAGAUUAAUACCCGAUGGCAUAGUUCUUCCGCAUGGUAGAACUAUUAAAGAACUUCGGUCAUCGAUGGGGAUGCGUUCCAUUAGGUUGUUGGCGGGGUAACGGCCCACCAAGCCUUCGAUGGAUAGGGGUUCUGAGAGGAAGGCCCCCCACAUUGGAACUGAGACACGGUCCAAACUCCUACGGGAGGCAGCAGUGAGGAAUAUUGGUCAAUGGACGAGAGUCUGAACCAGCCAAGUAGCGUGAAGGAUGACUGCCCUAUGGGUUGUAAACUUCUUUUAUACGGGAAUAAAGUGAGGCACGUGUGCCUUUUUGUAUGUA